GAACGCAAAUUGCACUCUCGGGUAUCCCCGGGAGUACGCUUCUUUCAGUAUCGGUUCUAUCUAACCUCGCCUGCGUUCUUAGGAAUGUUCUGGCGGAGAUUGAGCGUCACACUUUGAACGAAGUUGUGUUGCUUGAAAAGAUAGCUGGAUGCUUCUCGUUCACCCGCUUGGUUCGCUCUUCUCCUCUUCGCGAGGAGCUGAGGCAAACGAAGUGACGUGGUUAAGCUCGCCUUGUGCGACUACCCCAUCGUCAAUCAUCUUCGUGCGCAUCAGUGUGAUCUUUGGGCAGGUCGAGUAGGAAGACUCCGCUUGGAUUAUAUCCAAAUACAAAAAAAAAAUCAGAUCUGAAAUGAAGUGAGAGGACCCGCUGAACUUAAG
This 378-nucleotide unclassified non-coding RNA is filed under the name uncultured fungus. RNAcentral's name for it is "sequence contains 5.8S rRNA gene". The record is from RNAcentral. Lineage: Eukaryota; Fungi.